GAUGAAGAACGUAGCGAAAUGCGAUAAGUAGUGUGAAUUGCAGAAUUCAGUGAAUCAUCGAAUCUUUGAACGCACAUUGCGCCCGCCAGUAUUCUGGCGGGCAUGUCUGUUCGAGCGUCAUUACAACCCUCAGGCCCCCGGGCCUGGCGUUGGGGAUCGGCGGAAGCCCCCUGCGGGCACAACGCCGUCCCCCAAAUACAGUGGCGGUCCCGCCGCAGCUUCCAUUGCGUAGUAGCUAACACCUCGCAACUGGAGAGCGGCGCGGCCACGCCGUAAAACACCCAACUUCUGAAUGUUGACCUCGAAUCAGGUAGGAAUACCCGCUGAACUUAAGCAUAUCAAUAAGCGGAGGA
This 353-nucleotide unclassified non-coding RNA is filed under the name soil metagenome. RNAcentral describes it as "partial contains 5.8S ribosomal RNA, internal transcribed spacer 2, and large subunit ribosomal RNA". The stretch from base 1 to 120 matches the Rfam family "5.8S ribosomal RNA", at positions 35 to 154 of the family's 154-position model. The record is from RNAcentral.